GAGGGAUGGCAAGGCAGGUUCUCGGGAAGCCCUUGGAAGCCUGUCAGCCUGAUGGAGUGUUCAUACCAGCAUAUCUUUCAGCUGCUGCAGAGACCGACAAUUGCCCAAUUUGGGGAAAGGUUUGGGGUGCGAUGCUGGUGGCGAACAGGAUUCCACAGGAAAGUCAGGGUGGAAAUGCAGGUUUGAGAGGCUGCAGGUGCACUGAUAAUACUUUGAUGCUGGGAAAAACACAAAACCCGGUUCCACGCGGUGCUUUAGUGGCUAAAAGCGAAAGAGCUGCCUUGGCAGAAUUCAGCUCUAUGAAUCACUUCGGAAAAUUGGUUCGACUGAAUGGCCUUAGGAGGAAAAACGUUUUAAUAGGAUCCAGGGGAGGUUCUGCUGUUUCAAUCUGCUCCUUAAACAGGUGGAGAUUGGACCUUCUCAAUUAUACAAACAGGAGCGCGGGCGCCAGUUGCCUCCUUUAAAGUUUGAGGGGCGGUGGCGGCGGCCGACAGGCGCGGGGGAACGCAGGGUCCUCAACGGGAGUCGCGCCGCCGCCCAUGUCAUUCCACUUCAAGUGACUUCAUGUGAUGUCAGCUGAAUGUAAAAGACAGUGAUCUCACGCGGAGGGGAAGAUGUUUGCCAUCAAAAUGUGACAGAAGAGACACGCUGCAUGGCUCGGAACGCAUCUCCUUGGAGGUGGGGGAAAGAGACUUAGAGGAGAGAGGCUGUGCCCUGGCCCAGCCUGGCUCAGCCUCGCGCGCCAUGGCCAGCUCAGCUUCCCUGGAGACCAUGGUGCCCCCGGCCUGCCCGCGCGCUGGAGCGUCACCAGCCACUUCCAAAACACUAGCCUUCUCCAUCGAGCGCAUCAUGGCCAAGACGUCCGAAC
Molecule: long non-coding RNA, 868 nt
Organism: Onychomys torridus (southern grasshopper mouse)
Lineage: Eukaryota; Metazoa; Chordata; Mammalia; Rodentia; Cricetidae
Exons: 4
Source: RefSeq, a predicted model, not a curated record